Non-coding RNA from Macaca mulatta (Rhesus monkey), 117 nucleotides. The record is from Rfam. Lineage: Eukaryota; Metazoa; Chordata; Mammalia; Primates; Cercopithecidae.
GCCGGGUGUGGUGGCUCACGCCUGUAAUCCCAACACUUUGGGAGGCCGAGGUGGGCGGAUCACCUGAGGUCGGGAGUUCGAGACCAGCCUGACCAACAUGGAGAAACCCCAUCUCUA